RNAcentral lists this ribosomal RNA (492 nucleotides) under uncultured bacterium. Its description in RNAcentral is "partial 16S ribosomal RNA". It matches the Rfam family "Bacterial small subunit ribosomal RNA", at positions 29 to 507 of the family's 1533-position model. The record is from RNAcentral.
AUUGAACGCUGGCGGCAUGCUUUACACAUGCAAGUCGAGCGGUAACAGGCCUUCGGGUGCUGACGAGUGGCGAACGGGUGCGUAAUGCAUCGGAACGUACCCAGAGGUGGGGGAUAACGCAGCGAAAGCUGUGCUAAUACCGCAUGUGAUCUGAGGAUGAAAGCGGGGGACCGCGCAGCAAUGUUUGGCCUCGCGCCUUUGGAGCGGCCGAUGUCGGAUUAGCUAGUUGGUGGGGUAAAGGCCUACCAAGGCGACGAUCCGUAGCUGGUCUGAGAGGACGACCAGCCACACUGGGACUGAGACACGGCCCAGACUCCUACGGGAGGCAGCAGUGGGGAAUUUUGGACAAUGGGCGCAAGCCUGAUCCAGCAAUGCCGCGUGCGGGAAGAAGGCCUUCGGGUUGUAAACCGCUUUUGGCAGGAACGAAACGGUGUCCGCUAAUACCGGGCGCUAAUGACGGUACCUGCAGAAUAAGCACCGGCUAACUACGUG